Molecule: long non-coding RNA, 792 nt
Organism: Onychostoma macrolepis
Lineage: Eukaryota; Metazoa; Chordata; Actinopteri; Cypriniformes; Cyprinidae
Exons: 3
Source: RefSeq, a predicted model, not a curated record
CUUCUCCCUCACAUUCUGGAAAGAGGAGGGACUUACCACACUGAAGCAGAGCAAGAAGACGUCAGCAUUGGUGUAGCACAGCGGCCGGAGCUUGUCAAACUCAUCCUGCCCAGAGUAAAAAAAAAAAAGAUUCAGUAGAGCAACUUCCAGGUCACGUGUCUCUGAAAUAUCAGAACGCGAUGUGAUGUCAGCGGCAUGGGAGAUAAAGUCUAGAGCACAAAUGACUGAUCCAAAUCUCUCUUGGCUUUCCUCCCUUCACUGUCUCCCCUUAGCUUGCUAAACUCAUCGAAAACACAAUGAUCUCACAUUUCCAGUGACUAACCCCAGCUGUACCCCGGCUGAAAGUAGGUCUCCCUUUCCCUCGGAUCAAGCCCAAUUCAUCACAAUUAGACUGCUUCCCAUUUGUGAUCCCCUAGAGCUGGUUUCUCCCCUCCCACAAAGGAAGAAACACUGACUGACCUAUAAUAGCAUGCUCCCAUAGGAUGAAGUAUACACUUCCUUAUGAUGCCUGGACUGCAAACUUCAGCUGAACUUUACCAGAAACUCUUAUCAUGAGUAAGCAAAACAACACUGAAUCACUUUCUCUCUUAUCUUACAAACAGGCAACCAUAUGACUAAUUAGGACAUGACUCACGGGUCUGUUUACAGUUAAGAGACAAGGGCUUCGACCAGCAUGCGUUUGUGCAAAUAAUAUGUCAUCCUUAUACAGUGACAUGAUGAACUUGCACUGCCUUGAAUGUGUUUGUGUGAGGUGGUUUGUUUGGGUCUGGUGGUGCUGAGUGGGCUUAUUGG